GGAGAGGAGAGAGCGAGCGAGAGAGAGAGAGAGAGGGGGAAGUAGGAUUUCAUUUUUCGUUGCAACCUCUGGUUUGAUUCAUCUAUCUUUAUAACACAUUGAUCAAUAUGGAAAGAAUAUUCGUUUCAGUGAGGGCGAGGCCUCUUUCUCCCGAUGAUGCAAAAACGAGUCCCUGGAGGAUCUCCGGAAAUUCAAUCUCAAUCGCAAACCAGCCUACAAAAUUCGAAUUCGAUCGUAUUUUCGGAGAAGACAGUAAAACUGUUGAAGUCUACGAAGCUCGUACCAAAGAGAUCGUUGCUGCGGCUCUUCGUGGGUUCAACGGCACUGUUUUUGCAUAUGGACAAACAAAUAGUGGAAAAACACAUACUAUGCGAGGGACAGCUGCUGAACCAGGGGUUAUACCUCUUGCAGUGCAUGAUUUGUUUCGAAUUAUACAAGAGGAUAUGGAUCGAGAAUUUCUUCUACGCAUGUCCUACAUGGAGAUCUAUAAUGAAGAAAUAAAUGACUUAUUAGCUCCUGAGCAUCGGAAAUUGCAGGUUCAUGAGAGUCUUGAGAGAGGGAUAUUUGUUGCUGGUUUGAGAGAAGAGAUUGUUGCAUCCCCAGAGCAAGUCCUUGAUUUCAUGGAAUUUGGAGAAUCUCAUCGUCACAUUGGGGAGACAAAUAUGAAUGUUUAUAGCAGUAGGUCACAUACAAUUUUCCGAAUGAUAAUUGAAAGUCGUGAUAAAUCUGAAGAUGGAGAUAUUGGAAGUUCCUGUGAUGCUGUCCGUGUAUCUGUUCUGAAUUUGGUGGACCUGGCUGGUUCAGAACGUGCUGCAAAGACUGGUGCAGAAGGUGUGCGUCUGAAAGAGGGUUCACACAUCAAUAAAAGCUUGAUGACACUUGGAACUGUAAUAAAGAAACUGAGUGAAGGUGCUGAGAGCCAAGGGGGUCAUGUUCCCUAUCGGGAUAGCAAACUCACACGCAUUUUGCAACCAGCAUUGGGUGGGAAUGCAAAUACUGCUAUAAUAUGCAAUAUUACUUUUGCACAGAUUCAUGUGGAUGAGACAAAAUGCAGUCUCCAAUUUGCCAGUAGAGCAUUACGCGUAACAAACUGUGCACGCGUUAAUGAGAUUCUCACUGAUGCUGCUCUGUUAAAACGUCAAAAAAAGGAGAUUGAGGAGCUUCGGGCAAAAUUGCAGGGCUCUAAUUCAGAACAUUUUGAGGAGGAGAUACUUAAUCUGCGAAACACCUUAUUGAAGAGUGAAUUAGAGAGGGAGAGGAUUACCUUGGAGUUGCAAGAGGAAAAGAAAGCUCAAGCCCAACGUGAGAGGACAUUGCAAGAGCAAGCCAAGAAAAUAGCGAAUUUAAGCUCAAUGGUGUUGUAUUCAAAUAGGGAUGAGAAAUUGAGUCACUACAAAAAGGAUAAGAGGCGGGAUACAUGGUGCCCCGGUGUUCUUUCAAGGGAGGCUCUUAGAGAGGUGUCAUCCUUGGAUGGAUCAAAAGUUUCUAUUGAAGACCCCAUUAGACCUGAGCGAAAUAUGGAGAUGCCUCUUCCAUUUGAAGAAUUAGUGAAACAAAAGGAAGGCAACAUGGAUGAUACUUUCCAAGAAGCAUGCAAAGCAGACAAAAAUUUCAGUAAUGAUUCAUUCAAUGAUUGUAUACUUCCUGAUGCGCGUACCUUGUUGAAUGUAACUAACAGAAGAAAAGCACCACACAAGAAGAAGAGCUCACUUGUGGAAAGCAGUGAAUUAGUAGAAAUGCAGGUGGAAUAUGAGGAUUUGCUAUUGGAAUUUGAAACUCAGAGGACAGUGAAGGACAUAGAAAUUGAGUGCUUAACAAAAAGGUUGGCUGCAGCAGAAUGUUACUCAAAUGGAAUAUGCACUGAUUCUUCCUUUUGUCACAUAUCUCGUGGUGAUAGAAAAUUAAGUUUGAGAGAGUCAGAAGCUAUUCUUGUGAUAAAGAAACUCCAGGAACAGAUUAAAAAUUUGGAGAUGGACAAAGCGGCAAUUCAGAAAAAUCUGGACAAUGUUGUUGAGUUGGCAACAGAGCAGAACAUAUCAGCAGUAGAGAAAUAUGAUAAGCUGUAUCAAGAGCUUGUCAAUACACGUGGACAGACAAGUUUGGUUUGUGAGGAAGUGUGUGGAGGAAAAGUUGAGGAGGAUUAUGGUAACUCCUCAAAUGGGAUGUCAAUGGAAGUCCAAGAAAUACUACUUGAAGUUCAUAAGUCGAAAAGUACUUUUGAUAGUAUUUCUUUACUGAUAGAUGAUCUAUUCAAAAGCUUUUCUGCUGCAUCAAAAGAGUUGCAGGAUUUGAGGUCAUUGAUGUGCCAAAAUUCCAUGUAUCUAAAAUCCAUCAGCUGUGACCAUGAGAAGAUAUACAGUUGCAUGAGGAAGAAAAUUGUUGAACUUGAGAACGAAAAGUAUAUUUUGUCCAAUCAAGCGCUUGAUCUCCAUAAGCAAAUAGAGGAACUUAGAUUGGAUCUUCAAAAUUCUGAAAAGGCUUUGAGUGAGCACUGCAAGCAACAAGAUUUGGAGAAAGGUGAAUUGCUUUCUCAAAUUCAAAUUCUUGAGAAAGAAAUAUCAGGCUUGUCAUCUUGUUCAUUGGCAAGGGAGAAAGAAAAUUUGAGAAAAGAGUUGGAGAAAACAAAAACAAAGUUGAAAGAGACCGAGUUCAAGCUUAAGAAUGCUAUCCAAGACAAAACCAAACUUGAGGGUGAAAAAGCAUAUGCUGAACGAGAGAUAAAGCACUUGCAUGGUCAAAAGAUUCUUCUUGAGCGUGAUAUCAGCAAACGUGACUCACUUGCUGGAAGGAGGCGUGAAUCAAAGGCAUUUGACUCAAAUAAGGGAAGGGCUCAUAAUAUUUCCUAUGAGCAGACACUACAGGAUGAAUACAAGAAACUAGAAGUUCUGGCAUUUGAGAUGGAGACAACAAUUGCUUCUUUGGAAGAGGAUUUGGCAGUUGCAAAUGGAGAAAAGGAGGAAGCCCUUGUUAGAAAUGAAAUUUUAGCUUCAGAAUUGGAAGCUACUUCCAACAAAUUGAACACAUCAGACACAGAAUUAAAAAUGUUGGAGGAGGAGAUUUCAAGCAUGAGACUGAGAUUGGAUGAAUGUGAGUCCCUUUCUCAGAGAAUGGAAAGUUCUAUCAAGUUGUUAUCAGAAGAAAAAGAAGAGUUGGCAAUGCAACUUACUGAUGCCCUUUUGGAACUGGAGGAGGAAAAAGUAAUAUGGUCAGCUAAGGAGAAAACUUCUAUUGAAAGUAUUGCAGAGAAAGCCAAGUUAUCCAAUACCGAGAAACUGUUGUUUUCAAAAGAAUUGUCAGAGGUAAGUAAAGAAUUAGAGGCUUCUCGAGAGGAGUGCAAGUGCUUAAGGAAAAAAUUGAUUCUUUUGGAGGAAAAUCUAGAACAGGAGACCAAAUGCAGCAUGGAGAAGUCUUCAGAGAUUGAUCAGCUAAGAAAUGAUCUGAAAAUAUUUGAAAUUGAGAGUAAAAGAUGCCAAGAUGAUCUUAAAAACCAGAUUUUCAGUAUGAUGAAAGAAAGAGAUAAAUUGUUGGCUCAAGAUGAGCAGCAGCAGGCCCUUAAAAUUGAGAUGGAAACCUUGAAGAAAAAUUAUGAUGACAUGUUAUUUCAGGCCAGAGUUGACAUGGAGGAACUCUCUAAGAGAUAUUCUACCUUGGAAACUAGGUUUCAGAAUGAGAAUGCAAACAACAUUAUGAAUGCAAAACUUAGAAUGAGGCUCCGCAACACACAAGCAAAGCUAGAUGCAUUUCGUGGAAGAUACAAGGAGUCAGUAGAUGAGAUGAUUUUCAUGGACAAGAAAUUCCAUGAGGCAUCUGAGAAACUGAAAGAACAGUUGGGAUCGUAUGGUCGUGAGGUCUUGGAGCUCAAGAAGCAACUUUCUGCAGUAAAGCAUCAAUGUUGAUAAGAGACGAUAUUAUUCCUACAAAAUUGGAAGGAUCUACCUAUGGAAUUGACACUACUAUUGUAGCACAUGGGAGUAAGAAAUCUACUACUGGUGGUGAUUCUUUUGUUAAAGGUGAUUCUCUAGCAUCUAUGGUUGAGGAAAACAUUCAACAAUUGGUAACAUUUGUUACUUUUGCUCUUUCUGCUAUUGGCUUACCUGGACCAAAACACUGGAAGGUGAAAGGGAAGGGGCGCAGGUUGGGCUGUCUGUUUGCAUUGGAGUUCGAGAAGUCUCAAACAGCAGCAUCAUUAACUUAUUUUGGUUCCUCCACUUCUAGUUCUUUUAUGAGUCAUAGAAAUAAUGUUUGGGCCAUUUAUAUGCUAAAAAUUAAAUUUUUUGUUUGAUACAUUUGAUACAUCUUGUGUUUCUUGUUGCUUAAGUAAAAGUCGUACCUUACCAUUUCCUCACAUAUCUGAGCAUGCUACCUCCCCCUUCGAGCUUAUACAUUGUGAUGUCUGGAUUGCAUCUAUCACUUCUCGGCUUGGAUACAAAUAUUUGGUGUCGUUCAUUGAUGAUUGUACCUGGUACACAUGGAUAUACUUUCUUUGCCACAAGUCUGAGGUGUUCUUAAC
This is an RNA transcript of Nelumbo nucifera (sacred lotus), 4510 nucleotides long. It is a transcript of the gene named P-loop containing nucleoside triphosphate hydrolases superfamily protein, with no coding region annotated. The record is from RefSeq and is a predicted model, not a curated record. Lineage: Eukaryota; Viridiplantae; Streptophyta; Magnoliopsida; Proteales; Nelumbonaceae.